This 1093-nucleotide unclassified non-coding RNA is filed under the name Hevea brasiliensis (rubber tree). The record is from RNAcentral. Lineage: Eukaryota; Viridiplantae; Streptophyta; Magnoliopsida; Malpighiales; Euphorbiaceae.
CAUUGUCCGUACUAUGCCUGGCCAGGGCUAGCUUCGUCAGCAGCAUUGAAGCAUCCGAGCAGACCUUAUCGGAGCUUUCACCCGUACCACUGCCCACGACAGACUCGCCGCCGGGCAAUCCCGGUGGUGAUGGCCGCUUCUGCCGCUGUGCACGUAGGCACAUACGUGCGACUCCACAUGCGGUGUCAUUUGAUACCACGUCCCACAGGCCAUCACUCGCCAGUAUCAAACACUCAUCCUCCGCCGCCCGUUCCGUCACGGUCACCUCCGGCUCCGAUAUUACAUACGGUUUCAAAUAGUUAUCACCUGGAAAAAAAAUUGAAGAUCAGCAAUUAAAUUUCCUCGCUAAUGCUCAAGUAUAUUGAGUUGAUUUAAUUCAAUACAAGUCUUCGUCCAUACCAAUUGCUCUCGACAUGGCCAAAACUCCCAGGACUCUUGCACCGUCCCAGUAGAUUACCCGGCCACCAGCGGCUUGGAUUCGAGCCAAUUCAUCCGGUCGAUCAGGCUGCAGAUUUACAAAAUAAACUAAAUGCGUUAAAAAUGAACCUAGUAAUUUGUAUGACACGCUCCAACAGUUGACCCGACCCACGUGUUUCACGUCUUAUCUUUUGAGUGGCACCACCACUUUUGCCAAAAGCGAUGGGCCCGUUAAUUCACGAGCUACGCAAAAACAAAGACCUAAUCCUCAUUCAACAGCAGCACGUAUCGCCGGAAUUUUAAAAAAAUAAAUUCUAGAGUAGUUCGGGAAUUAAAACUCACCUUGUGAUCGGAAGAAAGGGGGAUAGCUACUCCGUUGCGGCAUAGUACGGCGCGGGAGUCGCCGCAGUUGGAGACUACGAUCUUGUUCGGCGUUACAACUGCAACUACAGCCGUGGAUCCAACGGCGUCGCACUGCGGAGUCUGGAGCUCGCACCGGCAGUUAGUGUUCUUAUCUCCUUUGUUGCACCACUCCUCCAGCUCAUUGUCCAUCUUCGCAUAGCUUCUCGCCAUCGCUUCCUUCCACUCAACGCACUUCACUUCGUCGAAUCUUUCGAUUUCUUCUUUCAUAAUCUCGUGUAGCCGAUCUUUACACUUCAUCGCCACAUGAGAGCAA